This 440-nucleotide ribosomal RNA is filed under the name uncultured bacterium. RNAcentral describes it as "partial 16S ribosomal RNA". It matches the Rfam family "Bacterial small subunit ribosomal RNA", at positions 338 to 795 of the family's 1533-position model. The record is from RNAcentral.
CCUACGGGAGGCAGCAGUGGGGAAUAUUGGACAAUGGGGGAAACCCUGAUCCAGCGACGCCGCGUGAGUGAAGAAGUAUUUCGGUACGUAAAGCUCUAUCAGCAGGAAAGAAAAUGACGGUACCUGACUAAGAAGCCUCGGCUAACUACGUUCCAGCAGCCGCGGUAAUCCGUAGGGGUGAAGCGUUUUCCGGAUUUACUGGGUGGAAAGGGAUCGUAGGCGGGAGCGCAAUGCUGGAGGGAAAUGGCGGGGCCCAACCCCGGAACUGCUCUGGAGACUGUGAAGCUUGAGUGCAGGAGAGGAAAGCGGAAUUCCUGGUGUAGCGGUGAAAUGCGUAGAUAUAAGGAGGAACACCGGCGGCGAAGGCGGCUUACUGGACUGUAACUGACGUUGAGGCUCGAAGGCGUGGGGAGCAAACAGGAUUAGAUACCCUUGUAGUC